AGCGUGUAUUGGGCGUACGAAAAGCGUACCUAAGCGUUUAUCGGGCGUUCAAGAAACGUAUGUUGGCGUAUGCCUGGCGUUUGUCUAACGUAGAUGGAAUGCACGCUACGAAGAAAAAAAAGUCUCUUGAACGUAUUUGAGACGCGUCCCGGUCGUGUCUUGGAUGUUCUAUUAUGGGGUGUUUGUUACAAACACACCCGC
Molecule: long non-coding RNA, 201 nt
Filed under: Mytilus galloprovincialis (Mediterranean mussel)
Lineage: Eukaryota; Metazoa; Mollusca; Bivalvia; Mytilida; Mytilidae
Source: RNAcentral